RNAcentral lists this ribosomal RNA (554 nucleotides) under Clonostachys rosea. Its description in RNAcentral is "eukaryotic LSU rRNA". The stretch from base 182 to 335 matches the Rfam family "5.8S ribosomal RNA". The record is from RNAcentral. Lineage: Eukaryota; Fungi; Ascomycota; Sordariomycetes; Hypocreales; Bionectriaceae.
CCGUUGUGACGCGGAGGAUCAUUACCGAGUUUACAACUCCCAAACCCAUGUGAACAUACCUACUGUUGCUUCGGCGGGAUUGCCCCGGGCGCCUCGUGUGCCCCGGAUCAGGCGCCCGCCUAGGAAACUUAAUUCUUGUUUUAUUUUGGAAUCUUCUGAGUAGUUUUUACAAAUAAAUAAAAACUUUCAACAACGGAUCUCUUGGUUCUGGCAUCGAUGAAGAACGCAGCGAAAUGCGAUAAGUAAUGUGAAUUGCAGAAUUCAGUGAAUCAUCGAAUCUUUGAACGCACAUUGCGCCCGCCAGUAUUCUGGCGGGCAUGCCUGUCUGAGCGUCAUUUCAACCCUCAUGCCCCUAGGGCGUGGUGUUGGGGAUCGGCCAAAGCCCGCGAGGGACGGCCGGCCCCUAAAUCUAGUGGCGGACCCGUCGUGGCCUCCUCUGCGAAGUAGUGAUAUUCCGCAUCGGAGAGCGACGAGCCCCUGCCGUUAAACCCCCAACUUUCCAAGGUUGACCUCAGAUCAGGUAGGAAUACCCGCUGAACUUAAGCAUAUCAUAA